GAUGAACGCUGGCGGCGUGCCUAAUACAUGCAAGUCGAGCGAGCGGACGAGAAGCUUGCUUCUCUGAUGUUAGCGGCGGACGGGUGAGUAACACGUGGAUAACCUACCUAUAAGACUGGGAUAACUUCGGGAAACCGGAGCUAAUACCGGAUAAUAUUUUGAACCGCAUGGUUCAAAAGUGAAAGACGGUCUUGCUGUCACUUAUAGAUGGAUCCGCGCUGCAUUAGCUAGUUGGUAAGGUAACGGCUUACCAAGGCAACGAUGCAUAGCCGACCUGAGAGGGUGAUCGGCCACACUGGAACUGAGACACGGUCGAGACUCCUGCGGGAGGCAGCAGUAGGGAAUCUUCCGCAAUGGGCGAAAGCCUGACGGAGCAACGCCGCGUGAGUGAUGAAGGUCUUCGGAUCGUAAAACUCUGUUAUUAGGGAAGAACAUAUGUGUAAGUAACUGUGAACAUCUUGACGGUACCUAAUCAGAAAGCCACGGCUAACUACGUG
Molecule: ribosomal RNA, 497 nt
Filed under: uncultured bacterium
Lineage: Bacteria
Description: partial 16S ribosomal RNA
Rfam family: Bacterial small subunit ribosomal RNA
Source: RNAcentral